RNAcentral lists this long non-coding RNA (1224 nucleotides) under Homo sapiens (human). Its description in RNAcentral is "non-protein coding lnc-CLDN24-6:2". Lineage: Eukaryota; Metazoa; Chordata; Mammalia; Primates; Hominidae. The record is from RNAcentral.
CACCGUUCACUCCGGAACAGAGACUGAGAUGCAGCUGCCUAAGAAACGCUCUGGGCUGGAAUACUUCAUCUGGACAACAGAUGCAUCAGCUACACUAAGGCCCGAUCCGAGACUUCUGAUGCAUAAAGCAUGCAACUUCGCGCACGGAUGUACUUUCCAUUUGAAGUACUGCUAGAGAUUUGUGCCCUCAAACACGGGAAUUUUGCAGGUCUUAAAAUUGGCCAAGAAGGUGUUUUUUCUUUUCUUUGCCACAGGAUCAUGGUUUUUUCCAUUGUUAUUAAAGAUUCAGUUGCCUCACCUGAGCCACAAUAGAUGCGGUAGAAACGGGACACCUCAGAGAUUUGAUUUUGUCACGCUCUGAAAUUCAUAGUAAAUCUCAUCAUGCCACUCCAAUCUCUACCCCCAAAUCCCUGUCCAAAGUCCACAAUCCUUGGUGUGACAUGACUCAUUCAUUCAUUUAACAUUUCCUGAGUAUCUAAUGUGUGCAGACUUGCUCUGAUGGGCUCUGGAUUCACAGAAGUGAAAGGACAGACGCAAUUCCUGCCCACAGGCGAGAAGGACAGUGACACAAAUGUGUCAAUGAUCGCAUUUGGGAUUGUUGAGGUCAUGGAAUCCAGAGUGACUGAGGAGCUGUGGCAGGAGGAGCUGACUGAGUUAGGACCAGGGGUUUGUGAGGCUGGAGUCCGUGAAUGCGAAGAAAGGACUUCUUGGGAAUAGGAAAUGGUGGGGAGGAGGAAUUACAUUUUCUACUAACUUCAAACUGAAAUUUAGCAUUUUCUUUAAUUAGGAAUGUGGGCAAUAAACCAUGUGGUCUAGGAGCACCGGUAUUUUGACACCAGUGGAAACUACAGAUAUUUUCAUAUUACAUGGCAGUUGUUGACAAUACCUUGAAAUAUUUACACAUUUCACCACUGAGACACCAUGGUACUUGGAGCCCCUUUGCUAGAUCUUGUUAUUUAAUGUGUUAAUAGAUGACAUCUAUUACUAUUUUUUUAAUGUUGUGAUUACUGUAUUUCAAUGUCAUUGGUUGCCUUUGUCAUCCUGUGUAUUUAAUUUAUGCAUUUAAAAACAUGACUCUGAAAAGAGACUCAUAAACCUCACAGAGUUGCACAAGGGGUUGAUGGCCCAAAAAAGAAAGAGAAGCCCUGAGCCCAGCCCUUGCCUUGUGGCUGCCACUGGCCCCCAGCCUGGGAAUCUGCUGUGGCCUCUGGGCCUCGCACAUGC